Molecule: ribosomal RNA, 460 nt
Filed under: uncultured bacterium
Lineage: Bacteria
Description: partial 16S ribosomal RNA
Rfam family: Bacterial small subunit ribosomal RNA
Source: RNAcentral
CCUACGGGUGGCAGCAGUGAGGAGUAUUGGUCCAUGGACGAGAGUCUGAACCAGCCAAGUAGCGUGAAUGAUGACUGCCCUAUGGGUUGUAAACUUCUUUUAUAUGGGAAUAAAACAGGGUAUGCAUACCCUCUUGUAUGUACCAUAUGAAUAAGGAUCGGCUAACUCAGUGCCAGCAGCCGCGGUAAUACGGAGGAUCCGAGCGUUAUCCGGAUUUAUUGGGUUUAACGGGAGCGUAGGUGGUUUGUUAAGUCAGUUGUGAAAGUUUGCGGCUCAACCGUAAAAUUGCAGUUGAAAAUGGCAGUCUGGAGUACAGUAGAGGGGGGUAGAAUUCGUGGUGUAGCGGUGAAAUGCUGAGAUAUCACGAAGAACACAGAUGGCGAAGGCAGCUCCCUGGACUGCAACUGACACUGAUGCGCGAAAGUGUGGGUAGAAAACAGGAUUAGAGACCAUAGUAGUC